AGAGUGUGGUUAUGAGGCUAUUGAAGUAAUUUUUGCAAAGGAAGGAGCCAGGCUGUAUGAGCGCAGCAUAAACUUAUAUUGGAGAAAGUCAGCCGCACAGUGAGACUUUCUCCAACAGCGUUCAGCAGUUAUGGAGCAUUUUUGGAGAUACUGAGUCAGCUUGGUGUGCCAAGGUUGUUGUUGGGGGUGCUUGCUGCGUUUAAAUGUAGGAGGUGCCAUGAAG
Molecule: non-coding RNA, 223 nt
Organism: Pelobates cultripes (western spadefoot toad)
Lineage: Eukaryota; Metazoa; Chordata; Amphibia; Anura; Pelobatidae
Source: the annotation of a GenBank genome assembly